CAGCGACAUAGCCAUUAUGCUAACUGCUGGUUCCCAAGAGUGGGAUACAGUUUGACCCCCUUGACUUUGAAUCAUUCCUUCCCUGUGGUCCCCUGGCCAUGGAGAAAAACAGAAGUUCCACGUGAGGUGUGCUACAUCAUGAAGAGCCCUAGUAGGGUAAGGUUUGUUGGCCUAAAUAAACAAGAGUCACGAUGCCAGAAUUUUAGGAAUUCAUUGUGAUCCAGAACGGGUGUGACUGAUCCCUGCCUGAGUCUCAUCUGGGCAGUGACAGUGCCGACAGACAGCAGUCCUACUGUGAGGAGCUCUGGCCCCAGGUCUCGCUCUGUGUCUGUAAGUGCUCCUCCCAUCCCCACCAGGAGACUUUCUAACCGUCUUCACCUGGUUUUCCCACGCCCAGAUAGGAGAGAGCAAUCUGGGAAGACUUCUUCCCUCCCAGAAUCUGGGGGAGAUAAAGCACCGAGCCGAGCCCCGUAGUCAAUGGGGCAACAGGAGAGAGCAGGGUAGAGAAAGGAUCCCGAACUCAAUUCCACCAAGUUUGUAUUCUGUGCCCUAGCCUCGUGAGUUUGUCCUACUGCACAUAUUAAUAGGGCCUGAAAGGGGACCAGUUCAUUGGUUGCUUAGCUACGAGCAGUUCUCCCCCUUCCCCGUGUGGAAUGGAGGGAAAUGUGCCCGGCUGGGCAGCCCCGGGGCUGCUUGGAGGCUCUUUCACUUUGUCCAGCAAAGUUCACCUCCUGCUGGGCCUCCCCAUAGCACCUAGACCCUAAAGGCUCAUUGGAGGUCGGAGGUGAUUGGAAAAUUAAUAGCAGAUCCAGAGUAACCCAGGGAUUUUGGAAUCAUAUCCUGUUUCCACCUCUUUAAUUCUGGCCCUUAGAGAGGAGUUUGGGUUUUCCUUCACCUUGUUCCUUCUUUUCCUCGCCCUUCCUCUCUCUUUUUUCCUCCCUAGUAGCUUACAACAGCACCAUCUUUAAGGUCUGAUCUUAACUAGUUUGUACAGUUAAAGGAUCAUGAGGUCUUAUUCCAUAAUCAAAUAUAAUUGAUUCUCUCUCACUGUGUCUGAAAGAAGCCAUUUCUUCCAGAUUGGAAAAGCAGACACCCUCGGCUGCACCGUCGUCCUGCUGUUUCCCGUGCAGUUAGUGACUCUGGAGGAAGUAGCUUUUAGAGACAAGAGCUCCAGGCAAACUUGCGAAGUAGACUUUUAUCCAUUGGGCUGUUCUACCUACUUUGCCGUGUUUUUUUCCCCCAUUAAAACGUAUUUACUC
This is a long non-coding RNA of Tupaia belangeri chinensis (Chinese tree shrew), 1259 nucleotides long. RefSeq lists it as uncharacterized. The transcript is spliced from 2 exons. Lineage: Eukaryota; Metazoa; Chordata; Mammalia; Scandentia; Tupaiidae. The record is from RefSeq and is a predicted model, not a curated record.